UCUGAAUCUGCGAACGGCUCCGCAAACCAGUUGUAAACCAAAGCAAGCUAGUCCGUAGCUCGGCCUUAACGGGUCGGGUUGCGGGUGAUACGGAUAACCCUGGUAAUUCUGAGGCUAAUACGAGAACGUAGUCCCUGGCUAACCGGUUGCUGCCUAUUCGGUGGCUUCUGUACUGGAAAGCUGGGGGGCGUGUGAUCUAUUAUGCAAGACGAGUCCAGGAAGGGGUGCACGCUCUAACCACAACAAUGACAGUUCGGACGGAACCCUCCGGGGGGAAGCCAGUUCUGAGUGGCUCUUGCGGGGUGCUUCUGACCUAUCAACUAGAUGGCAGCGUAACGGACAUGCCAUGGU
This 351-nucleotide ribosomal RNA is filed under the name Diderma radiatum. RNAcentral's name for it is "bacterial SSU rRNA". It matches the Rfam family "Eukaryotic small subunit ribosomal RNA", at positions 80 to 350 of the family's 1831-position model. Lineage: Eukaryota; Evosea; Eumycetozoa; Physariida; Didymiaceae. The record is from RNAcentral.